RNAcentral lists this ribosomal RNA (402 nucleotides) under uncultured bacterium. Its description in RNAcentral is "bacterial SSU rRNA". It matches the Rfam family "Bacterial small subunit ribosomal RNA", at positions 355 to 773 of the family's 1533-position model. The record is from RNAcentral.
UAGGGAAUAUUGCACAAUGGGCGAAAGCCUGAUGCAGCAACGCCGCGUGCGCGAAGAAGGCCUUCGGGUUGUAAAGCGCUUUUCUGGGAGAUGAGGAAGGACAGUAUCCCAGGAAUAAGGCUCGGCUAACUGCGUGCCAGCAGCCGCGGUAAAACGUAGGAGCCAAGCGUUAUCCGAAUUCACUGGGCGUAAAGCGCGUGCAGGCGGCCUGAUAAGUUGGAUGUGAAAUCUCCUGGCUCAACUGGGAGAGGCCGUUCAAUACUGUUGGGCUCGAGGGCGACGAGAGGGAGUGGAAUUCCGGGUGUAGUGGUGAAAUGCGUAGAUAUCCGGAGGAACACCAGAGGCGAAGGCGACCUCCUGGGUCGUACCUGACGCUCAGACGCGAAAGCUAGGGGAGCGAAC